This 85-nucleotide transfer RNA is filed under the name Xenococcus sp. PCC 7305. It matches the Rfam family "tRNA". Rfam says of the family: Transfer RNA (tRNA) molecules are approximately 80 nucleotides in length. RNAcentral also lists the same sequence under 5 other names. The record is from Rfam by way of RNAcentral. Lineage: Bacteria; Bacillati; Cyanobacteriota; Cyanophyceae; Pleurocapsales; Xenococcaceae.
GGGGGUAUGGCGGAAUUGGUAGACGCUGCGGACUUAAAAUCCGUUGAUCAUUGCGAUCGUGGGAGUUCAAGUCUCCCUACCCCCA